CCGCUCGCAGGCCCUGGCCCGGCGUGUGCUCCGCAGGCCUUGGGAGGAGCCAAAGCGCCUGACUUCGCUUAGUGGUGAAACUCUGAUGUUUAACCCUGACUGUUUUCCUUUGCUCCUAUCUUCCUACUUUUCUGAUUGAACGUGUUCUUUGUUGAAGUUUCUCUGCCAAAGGCCGGCGGAGCACAAGGCGGGAAAGACCACAGGGUCCUGCUCGGUUUCAGGCCCUCCCCGUCCCUCUGCCAAAUUCCCGCCGAGUCUCCAAACUCAGGAGUCUGAGGGUUUUUGGAAAUAUUUUACCCAUCAAGAUAAGAUAAAAUUUCUUUUGACGGGGGCGUUUGGUUUAUGUUUAGAAAAUCAGCAGAAUCCGAGCUGUUUGUAACAUCACAGACCUGUUGGCUAAAGGGCUUCAUAUCCUGAAAUCUGCUGAAAACGCAAGCGGUCUGUUUUGUGACACUGUGACUCUUGGCUUUCACGUUAUGUUUUUGUUUCCGAAAGUCUGAAGAGAGCGCCGGUUGGUGUUGCGUGUGUCAGCAGCACUUCGUUUCAACUGGCAACCGAAUUCCACGUUUAAUCGCUUUGGAUCAACCUGAGACCGUCCUGGUGGACUGCAGCCGGUCUGGUCACCCUCGGAUUAAUAAGACGUACACCUUUGAAAGGUAAGCUUCUUCGGGAUGACGGGGCAGCCACGUCACGCAGAGGUCAGCUCUGCCUCGCGGUUCGAUGGCGAAAAGGUACAGCUUGCCCCGUUGGUCUAAGUGCGAAGGAAAGGCCCUUAGUUCCGUGGAUGGAGCACUGUCUUUCCGCAAGUGUUGCUGGACGGCUGGCCGUCCACAGGCCACAGAGAAACGCGUCUUCACCCACGCAGCACACGCCUGUGGAAACGUUGCCUGAGAUGGAAACUAGGCCCAGAGAGGAUGCCUAAAACUGAAACCUUUGGAAGACAAUGUAGGAGGGAGGCUUUUGGCCUUGGGUUAAGGGAGGAAUUCUUAGAAACGCCACCUAAAGCAUGAUCCUUCAAAGAACUGAAAUUCAAACCUUCUGUC
RNAcentral lists this long non-coding RNA (1043 nucleotides) under Sus scrofa (pig). Its description in RNAcentral is "lncRNA (ENSSSCG00060026029.1)". Lineage: Eukaryota; Metazoa; Chordata; Mammalia; Artiodactyla; Suidae. The record is from RNAcentral.